GCGGUCGUGGCGGAACGGCAGACGCGCUAGAUUCAGGUUCUAGUGAGGGAAACUUCGUGGAGGUUCAAGUCCUCUCGACCGCACCA
This 86-nucleotide transfer RNA is filed under the name Pelosinus fermentans. RNAcentral's name for it is "tRNA_Leu_CAG". It matches the Rfam family "tRNA". Rfam says of the family: Transfer RNA (tRNA) molecules are approximately 80 nucleotides in length. Lineage: Bacteria; Bacillati; Bacillota; Negativicutes; Selenomonadales; Sporomusaceae. RNAcentral also lists the same sequence under 8 other names. The record is from RNAcentral.